GGUUAAGUUACAAAGGGCGCACGGUGGAUGCCUUGGCACUAGGAGCCGAUGAAGGACGGAACUAAUACCGAUAUGCUUCGGGGAGCUAUAAGUAAGCUUUGAUCYGGAGAUUUCCGAAUGGGGGAACCCAGUACACAUCAGUGUAUUGCUUGUCAGUGAAUACAUAGCUGGCCGGCGGCAGACGCGGGGAACUGAAACAUCUCAGUACCCGCAGGAAGAGAAAGAAAACUCGAUUCCCAUAGUAGCGGCGAGCGAAGUGGGAAGAGCCCAAACCGAGAAGCUUGCUUCUCGGGGUUGUAGGACUGGACAUUGGAGUUACCAAAGUCCGACGUAGUCGAAGUCAGCUGGAAAGCUGCNCCACAGAAGGUGAAGCCCUGUAAGCGAAACGUCGAACCCUCCGUCCAGGAUCCUGAGUACGGCGGAACACGUGAAAUUCCGUCGGGAAUCCCGGGGGAG
This 456-nucleotide ribosomal RNA is filed under the name Lacticaseibacillus paracasei. Its description in RNAcentral is "bacterial LSU rRNA". It matches the Rfam family "Bacterial large subunit ribosomal RNA", at positions 1 to 453 of the family's 2925-position model. Lineage: Bacteria; Bacillati; Bacillota; Bacilli; Lactobacillales; Lactobacillaceae. The record is from RNAcentral.